GGGUUGUGAGGUUAAGCGACUAAGCGUACACGGUGGAUGCCCUGGCAGUCAGAGGCGAUGAAGGACGUGCUAAUCUGCGAUAAGCGUCGGUAAGGUGAUAUGAACCGUUAUAACCGGCGAUUUCCGAAUGGGGAAACCCAGUGUGAUUCGUCACACUAUCAUUAACUGAAUCCAUAGGUUAAUGAGGCGAACCGGGGGAACUGAAACAUCUAAGUACCCCGAGGAAAAGAAAUCAACCGAGAUUCCCCCAGUAGCGGCGAGCGAACGGGGAGCAGCCCAGAGCCUGAAUCAGUGUGUGUGUUAGUGGAAGCGUCUGGAAAGGCGCGCGAUACAGGGUGACAGCCCCGUACACAAAAAUGCACAUGCUGUGAGCUCGAUGAGUAGGGCGGGACACGUGGUAUCCUGUCUGAAUAUGGGGGGACCAUCCUCCAAGGCUAAAUACUCCUGACUGACCGAUAGUGAACCAGUACCGUGAGGGAAAGGCGAAAAGAACCCCGGCGAGGGGAGUGAAAAAGAACCUGAAACCGUGUACGUACAAGCAGUGGGAGCACGCUUAGGCGUGUGACUGCGUACCUUUUGUAUAAUGGGUCAGCGACUUAUAUUCUGUAGCAAGGUUAACCGAAUAGGGGAGCCGAAGGGAAACCGAGUCUUAACUGGGCGUUAAGUUGCAGGGUAUAGACCCGAAACCCGGUGAUCUAGCCAUGGGCAGGUUGAAGGUUGGGUAACACUAACUGGAGGACCGAACCGACUAAUGUUGAAAAAUUAGCGGAUGACUUGUGGCUGGGGGUGAAAGGCCAAUCAAACCGGGAGAUAGCUGGUUCUCCCCGAAAGCUAUUUAGGUAGCGCCUCGUGAAUUCAUCUCCGGGGGUAGAGCACUGUUUCGGCAAGGGGGUCAUCCCGACUUACCAACCCGAUGCAAACUACGAAUACCGGAGAAUGUUAUCACGGGAGACACACGGCGGGUGCUAACGUCCGUCGUGAAGAGGGAAACAACCCAGACCGCCAGCUAAGGUCCCAAAGUCAUGGUUAAGUGGGAAACGAUGUGGGAAGGCCCAGACAGCCAGGAUGUUGGCUUAGAAGCAGCCAUCAUUUAAAGAAAGCGUAAUAGCUCACUGGUCGAGUCGGCCUGCGCGGAAGAUGUAACGGGGCUAAACCAUGCACCGAAGCUGCGGCAGCGACGCUGAUGCGUUGUUGGGUAGGGGAGCGUUCUGUAAGCCUGCGAAGGUGUGCUGUGAGGCAUGCUGGAGGUAUCAGAAGUGCGAAUGCUGACAUAAGUAACGAUAAAGCGGGUGAAAAGCCCGCUCGCCGGAAGACCAAGGGUUCCUGUCCAACGUUAAUCGGGGCAGGGUGAGUCGACCCCUAAGGCGAGGCCGAAAGGCGUAGUCGAUGGGAAACAGGUUAAUAUUCCUGUACUUGGUGUUACUGCGAAGGGGGGACGGAGAAGGCUAUGUUGGCCGGGCGACGGUUGUCCCGGUUUAAGCGUGUAGGCUGGUUUUCCAGGCAAAUCCGGAAAAUCAAGGCUGAGGCGUGAUGACGAGGCACUACGGUGCUGAAGCAACAAAUGCCCUGCUUCCAGGAAAAGCCUCUAAGCAUCAGGUAACAUCAAAUCGUACCCCAAACCGACACAGGUGGUCAGGUAGAGAAUACCAAGGCGCUUGAGAGAACUCGGGUGAAGGAACUAGGCAAAAUGGUGCCGUAACUUCGGGAGAAGGCACGCUGAUAUGUAGGUGAAGUCCCUCGCGGAUGGAGCUGAAAUCAGUCGAAGAUACCAGCUGGCUGCAACUGUUUAUUAAAAACACAGCACUGUGCAAACACGAAAGUGGACGUAUACGGUGUGACGCCUGCCCGGUGCCGGAAGGUUAAUUGAUGGGGUCAGCGCAAGCGAAGCUCUUGAUCGAAGCCCCGGUAAACGGCGGCCGUAACUAUAACGGUCCUAAGGUAGCGAAAUUCCUUGUCGGGUAAGUUCCGACCUGCACGAAUGGCGUAAUGAUGGCCAGGCUGUCUCCACCCGAGACUCAGUGAAAUUGAACUCGCUGUGAAGAUGCAGUGUACCCGCGGCAAGACGGAAAGACCCCGUGAACCUUUACUAUAGCUUGACACUGAACAUUGAGCCUUGAUGUGUAGGAUAGGUGGGAGGCUUUGAAGUGUGGACGCCAGUCUGCAUGGAGCCGACCUUGAAAUACCACCCUUUAAUGUUUGAUGUUCUAACGUUGACCCGUAAUCCGGGUUGCGGACAGUGUCUGGUGGGUAGUUUGACUGGGGCGGUCUCCUCCUAAAGAGUAACGGAGGAGCACGAAGGUUGGCUAAUCCUGGUCGGACAUCAGGAGGUUAGUGCAAUGGCAUAAGCCAGCUUGACUGCGAGCGUGACGGCGCGAGCAGGUGCGAAAGCAGGUCAUAGUGAUCCGGUGGUUCUGAAUGGAAGGGCCAUCGCUCAACGGAUAAAAGGUACUCCGGGGAUAACAGGCUGAUACCGCCCAAGAGUUCAUAUCGACGGCGGUGUUUGGCACCUCGAUGUCGGCUCAUCACAUCCUGGGGCUGAAGUAGGUCCCAAGGGUAUGGCUGUUCGCCAUUUAAAGUGGUACGCGAGCUGGGUUUAGAACGUCGUGAGACAGUUCGGUCCCUAUCUGCCGUGGGCGCUGGAGAACUGAGGGGGGCUGCUCCUAGUACGAGAGGACCGGAGUGGACGCAUCACUGGUGUUCGGGUUGUCAUGCCAAUGGCACUGCCCGGUAGCUAAAUGCGGAAGAGAUAAGUGCUGAAAGCAUCUAAGCACGAAACUUGCCCCGAGAUGAGUUCUCCCUGACUCCUUGAGAGUCCUGAAGGAACGUUGAAGACGACGACGUUGAUAGGCCGGGUGUGUAAGCGCAGCGAUGCGUUGAGCUAACCGGUACUAAUGAACCGUGAGGCUUAACCUUACAACGCCGAAGCUGUU
RNAcentral lists this ribosomal RNA (2930 nucleotides) under Escherichia coli. RNAcentral's name for it is "23S ribosomal RNA". It matches the Rfam family "Bacterial large subunit ribosomal RNA". Lineage: Bacteria; Pseudomonadati; Pseudomonadota; Gammaproteobacteria; Enterobacterales; Enterobacteriaceae. The record is from RNAcentral.